CGGGGAGUGGCCUAGCCUGGUUGAAGGCACGUGCCUCGGGCGCACGAGAUCGGGAGUUCGAAUCUCCCCUCCCCGACCA
RNAcentral lists this transfer RNA (79 nucleotides) under Terriglobia bacterium. RNAcentral describes it as "tRNA-Pro". It matches the Rfam family "tRNA". Rfam says of the family: Transfer RNA (tRNA) molecules are approximately 80 nucleotides in length. Their secondary structure includes four short double-helical elements and three loops (D, anti-codon, and T loops). Lineage: Bacteria; Pseudomonadati; Acidobacteriota; Terriglobia. The record is from RNAcentral.